RNAcentral lists this ribosomal RNA (465 nucleotides) under uncultured bacterium. RNAcentral describes it as "partial 16S ribosomal RNA". It matches the Rfam family "Bacterial small subunit ribosomal RNA", at positions 338 to 795 of the family's 1533-position model. The record is from RNAcentral.
CCUACGGGAGGCUGCAGUAGGGAAUCUUCCACAAUGGGCGAAAGCCUGAUGGAGCAACGCCGCGUGGGUGAAGAAGGUCUUCGGAUCGUAAAACUCUGUUGUUAGAGAAGAAAGUUCGUGAGAGUAACUGUUCCCGUUUCGACGGUACCUAACCAGAAAGCCACGGCUAACUACGUGCCAGCAGCCGCGGUAAUACGUAGGUGGCAAGCGUUAUCCGGAAUUAUUGGGCGUAAAGGGAACGCAGGCGGUUUUUUAAGUCUGAUGUGAAAGCCUUCGGCUUAACCGGAGUAGUGCAUUGGAAACUGGGAGACUUGAGUGCAGAAGAGGAGAGUGGAACUCCAUGUGUAGCGGUGAAAUGCGUAGAUAUAUGGAAGAACACCAGUGGCGAAGGCGGCUCUCUGGUCUGUAACUGACGCUGAGGUUCGAAAGCGUGGGUAGCAAACAGGAUUAGAUACCCUAGUAGUC